This 1581-nucleotide ribosomal RNA is filed under the name Limnonectes blythii (giant mountain frog). Its description in RNAcentral is "16S ribosomal RNA". It matches the Rfam family "Bacterial large subunit ribosomal RNA", at positions 363 to 2925 of the family's 2925-position model. Lineage: Eukaryota; Metazoa; Chordata; Amphibia; Anura; Dicroglossidae. The record is from RNAcentral.
CUAAAAUUUAGCUUAUCUUAAACUUAUGAACAUAAUAUCCCUCAUCUUUUUAGUAAAACAUUUUAUUAGUCUAGUACAGGCGAUCAAAAAACUUAUUAACGCCAUAUAACAAGUACCGCAAGGGAAAAAAUGAAAUAGCUUUGAAACAGACUCAAAGCACAACACAGCAGAGCUUGUUUCUCGUACCUUUUGCAUCAUGGAUUAGCCAGUCCUGAUCAAGCAAAACGGAAUCCCAGUUUGAUACCCCGAAACUAGACGAGCUACUUUAAAACAGCUUUAUAGAGCCAACCCAUCUCUGUUGCAAAAGAGUGGGAUGAUUUUUAAGUAGAGGUGAAAAGCCUAUCGAGCCUAGAGAUAGCUGGUUACUAGGAAAAAGAAUUUUAGUUCUGCUUCAAAUCCCUCUAUUACAACAAUAAAUACAUUAAAUUUGAAAGUUAUUCAAAUAAGGCACAGCUUAUUUGAAAAAGGAUACAGCCUACAAAAAAGGGUAAAUCCAACCACACAGAGCAAGUAGGCCUAAAAGCAGCCACCUUAAAAAGCGUUAAAGCUUUCUCUCCUCAAAUAUCUUAAUCUAUAAAUAAAUUUUUAUCCCUUCACUGUUACUAAGUAAUUUUAUAAAUUAUAUAAAAGUUUUUAUGCUAAAACUAGUAACAAGAAUUUGAAUUUCUCCUAAAUAUAAGUAUAAACCAAAAUGGACCUACCAUUGGUAUUUAACGUCUAUCAACCUACUAUAACAACACCAUCAAGAAAACACUAUAACUUCCAACGUUAACCUAACACAAGAAUAUCUCAGGAAAGAUAAAAAGAAAAGGAAGGAACUCGGCAAAUUUUAACCCCGCCUGUUUACCAAAAACAUCGCCUUCUGAUCAAUUAUAUAAGGUCCCGCCUGCCCAGUGACUUGCUUAAACGGCCGCGGUAUUCUGACCGUGCAAAGGUAGCAUAAUCAUUUGUCCUCUAAAUAAGGACUUGUAUCAACGGCAUCACGAGGGUUCUACUGUCUCCCUCCUCUAAUCAGUGAAACUGACCUCCCCGUGAAGAGGCGGGGAUUUAAAUACAAGACGAAAAGACCCCAUGGAGCUUAAAACCCAAUAAUAAUCUCUCAUAAACACUCCCUCUAAACCUUAGAGACCUAUCCAUUGGUUUUGGGUUGGGGUGACCACGGAGUAAAAUAAAACCUCCCUGACGAUAAUCUACUAACUUAAAUACAAGAGCCACUGCUCUAAGAAUCAAAAAUUUGACGUAAUAUGAUCCGGCAACCGAUCAACGAACCAAGUUACCCUGGGGAUAACAGCGCAAUCCAUUUCAAGAGCCCUUAUCGACAAAUGGGUUUACGACCUCGAUGUUGGAUCAGGGUGUCCCAGUGGUGCAGCCACUACUAAAGGUUUGUUUGUUCAACAAUUAAAACCCUACGUGAUCUGAGUUCAGACCGGAGAAAUCCAGGUCGGUUUCUAUCUGUAAAGUGUUACCCUUAGUACGAAAGGAUUAGAGUAACGUGGCCAAUACCUACUCAAGCCUCACCCUUCAACUAAUGAAACAAGCUUAACUAGCUAAAUACUACCAACUCAUCUUAGAUCAAGAUAG